GUUCUCAAAUGGCUGAAUUCCAGUAAUGGGAACGGGGGAACCAACGGUGAUUAUGGCUUUUGCUCAGAUAGCGGCCGCUCACCUGGGGUGAAUCCUUGCUGCAUGCUGUAACGGUGCUCCGGCAAGGUAGGGCAAUCUCGCUGCCCGAAUCCGUCAGCUAACCUCGUAAGCCUCGAAGAGAGAGGAU
This 187-nucleotide small RNA is filed under the name Paenibacillus sp. Its description in RNAcentral is "c-di-AMP sequence". It matches the Rfam family "c-di-AMP riboswitch aptamer (ydaO/yuaA leader)". Rfam says of the family: This family represents a conserved RNA structure found upstream of the ydaO and yuaA genes in Bacillus subtilis and related genes in other bacteria. The ydaO/yuaA element is thought to act as a genetic "off" switch for the ydaO and yuaA genes in its native state. Lineage: Bacteria; Bacillati; Bacillota; Bacilli; Caryophanales; Paenibacillaceae. The record is from RNAcentral.